AGUGAACGCUGGCGGUAGGCCUAACACAUGCAAGUCGAUCGGCAGCACAGUAAGAGCUUGCUCUUACGGGUGGCGAGUGGCGGACGGGUGAGGAAUACAUCGGAAUCUACUUUUUCGUGGGGGAUAACGUAGGGAAACUUACGCUAAUACCGCAUACGACCUACGGGUGAAAGCAGGGGAUCUUCGGACCUUGCGCGAUUGAAUGAGCCGAUGUCGGAUUAGCUAGUUGGCGGGGUAAAGGCCCACCAAGGCGACGAUCCGUAGCUGGUCUGAGAGGAUGAUCAGCCACACUGGAACUGAGACACGGUCCAGACUCCUACGGGAGGCAGCAGUGGGGAAUAUUGGACAAUGGGCGCAAGCCUGAUCCAGCCAUACCGCGUGGGUGAAGAAGGCCUUCGGGCUGUAAAGCCCUUUUGUUGGGAAAGAAAAGCAGCAGGUUAAUACCCCGCUGUUCUGACGGUACCCAAAGAAUAAGCACCGGCUAACUUCGUG
Molecule: ribosomal RNA, 492 nt
Filed under: uncultured bacterium
Lineage: Bacteria
Description: partial 16S ribosomal RNA
Rfam family: Bacterial small subunit ribosomal RNA
Source: RNAcentral